GCCGGGUGCGGUGGCCCACACCUGUAGUCCCAGCUAUUUGGGAGAUUGAGAAGGGAGGAUCUUGAGCCCUGUAGUUUUGGGCUGUAGUGAGCUGUGACUAUCAGGUGUCCACACUAAGUUCAGCAUCAAUAUGCUGACCUCCUGGGAUCAGGGGACCACCAGGUUGCUAAGGAGGGGUGAACUGGCCCAGGUCAGAAAUGGAGCAGGUCAAAAUAUCUACUAGAGAUAGUAACUGAAAUUUUUUUUUAAUUUUUUGUUUAUUUAAUUAAUCUAUUUAUU
RNAcentral lists this signal recognition particle RNA (279 nucleotides) under Jaculus jaculus (lesser Egyptian jerboa). Its description in RNAcentral is "Metazoan signal recognition particle RNA (ENSJJAG00000005549.1)". It matches the Rfam family "Metazoan signal recognition particle RNA". From Rfam's summary of the family: The signal recognition particle (SRP) is a universally conserved ribonucleoprotein. Lineage: Eukaryota; Metazoa; Chordata; Mammalia; Rodentia; Dipodidae. The record is from RNAcentral.